GUCCUCUUACAUUCGUCUCUGUCUGCGUCCCAGCUCAGUGUUAUUCACUGUUGCGGCGGCUGCGUUAUGCAUCCUAGUGAUGUCUGCUAUCGUCGGGGUAGUGCUGUGGAGAUUGUCCGAGAACAAAGGCAGCACAGAUGAACUGCCCGAAAAAAAGGGACCCAGCGCAACCAUCUCUGGGCACCCAGCGGCCAGUACGAGCCCAGUUGUACCCGAGGAUGACGAUACAGCGGAUGACUCGGCGACUGACAAAAGGACCCCGACCAAGAUACCAAGUAUUGCGCCAGGACCACGU
Molecule: long non-coding RNA, 295 nt
Organism: Ornithodoros turicata
Lineage: Eukaryota; Metazoa; Arthropoda; Arachnida; Ixodida; Argasidae
Exons: 3
Source: RefSeq, a predicted model, not a curated record